CCUGCUUCUGGGACCCAGCGCUAGUGUAGGGGUUCCUGCGAAAAGCAGAGAGGAGAAUUGCGCGUCUGGACUUGUCUGGGCUGUCCUCAGCCCUCUCCCCAGAGACAUGAAACGGUUUAUUCUCCCGCAGAAGAAAGGGACUGUGGCCCCCGGCUCCUUCAGGACUAGAGGAGAGGCCUCGGGGCGCUGGCUAGAGACGAGGGAUGGGAACCGUGCGCCAUGACAGAGGACAGACUAUGGAAAUGAUGUUAGACAAAAAGCAAAUCGAGUGAUAUUCGAAUUCAAAAUGGGUUAUAAUGCAGCGGAGAUAAUUCACAACAUCAACAAUGCAUUUGGCCAGGAACUGCUAACAAAUAUGCAGUGCAGUGAUGGUUCAAGAAAUUUUGCAAAGGAGAUGAGAGCCUUGAAGAUGAGGAGCACAGUUGCUGGCCAUUGGAAGUUGACUGCAACCAACUGAGAGCAAUCAUCUAGCAAUCCUCUUACAACUAGCUAAGAAGUUGCCGAAUAACUCAACGUCAACCAUUCUUUGGUCAUUCUGCAUUUGAAGCAAAUUGGAAAAGUGAAAAAGCUCAAUAAGUGGGUGCCUCAUGAGCUGAGCGGAAGUAAAAACAAAUUGUCAUUUCGAAGUGUCCUCUUAUUCCGUGCAGCAACAACGAACCAUUUUUCGAUUGGAUUGUGAUGUGCAACGAAAAGUGGAUUUUGUAUGGCAACUGGCGAUGACCAGCUCAGUGGCUGAGUUGAGAGCAACCACUUUAGGAAGCUCCAAAGCACUUCCUAAAGCCAAA
Non-coding RNA from Chlorocebus sabaeus (green monkey), 785 nucleotides. NCBI's taxonomy places the organism in Eukaryota, Metazoa, Chordata, Mammalia, Primates, Cercopithecidae. The record is from RefSeq and is a predicted model, not a curated record.